GUGGGGAAUCUUCCGCAAUGGGCGAAAGCCUGACGGAGCAACGCCGCGUGAGUGAAGACGGCCUUCGGGUUGUAAAGCUCUGUUAUAUGGGACGAACGGGUGUAUGGUCAAUACCCAUACGCCGUGACGGUACCGUAAGAGAAAGCCACGGCUAACUACGUGCCAGCAGCCGCGGUAAUACGUAGGUGGCAAGCGUUGUCCGGAAUCAUUGGGCGUAAAGGGCGCGCAGGCGGGUCGGUAAGUCGGUCUUAAAAGUGCGGGGCUUAACCCCGUGAUGGGAUUGAAACUGCCGGACUGGAGUGUCGGAGAGGAAAGCAGAAUUCCUAGUGUAGCGGUGAAAUGCGUAGAUAUUAGGAGGAAUACCAGUGGCGAAAGCGGCUUUCUGGACGACAACUGACGCUGAGGCGCGAAAGCCAGGGGAGCAAACGGGAUUAGAAACCCUGGUAGUCC
This 450-nucleotide ribosomal RNA is filed under the name uncultured bacterium. RNAcentral's name for it is "partial 16S ribosomal RNA". It matches the Rfam family "Bacterial small subunit ribosomal RNA", at positions 354 to 796 of the family's 1533-position model. The record is from RNAcentral.